CUAAACAGAUCGGAGAUUGGACUGGGAGGGCGGGGGCCGGAGGCGGGUCAUGGGCUGGGGGGAAGGGUGGACGAGCGACGGAAACCCUCAGAUUCAGAGAAGCAUCGAGAACCGGAAGAAGACCAUGGGAGGAAGAUCCACAGAGUUGCAGAACUAAAGAGAUCAGAGUUUGGGGUCAGAAAAACUUAACUGAAAUAUCCAGGCGGGGCAGAAAUAGAAGGAUGGAAUUGGCCUGUUUUAAUCUGCCAGAUGUAAAAUACGGAAAGAGUGGUUUUGCUCUCUGUGUAUCCUUCAGGCAAAGGGUAGUAGGACAUUAAUUUUUAAAAGGAAUAAAGAAGCUAUAUAAGAAUGGUAGGAAACAUCGCUCCCUACCCAAAGGGAACUCACCAUAUCCAGGAGGUCCAUAAAGAAAAGUCCCAGAUAAGCCAAUUUGUAUUACCCUAAUCUAAACAAGCUUCAGUAUGAAAAGUAUAAUGGAACAUGUUAAUGCUCUUAAUUAACAAUGCACAGCAGACUGGGACAAAUUUGAGGUGCUUUUCCAAACUGCUGCCUUUGUGUUGGAUCUCAGACGAAGUGAUACAGUGCUCUGGCCCUUUGAGUGGAGUCUUGGUUUCUUAUAGCCUUCUGGUGCUCUCGGAGUUAAGAGAGUGAGAGAGCACAAGCAAGGAAAAGCAGCAGAGGGAGAGGGAGAAGCAGGCUUCCCGCUGAGCAGGGAACCCGACGCGGGGCUCAAUCCCAGGACCCUGGCAUCAUGACCUGAGCCGAAGGCAGAUGCCCAACCAACUAAGCCACCCAGGCGCCCCUAUAACAAAUACUCUUGUACGAGUGUUUGUAUGGACAUAGAUUUUCAUUUCUUUUAGGGCCACUAAUGAGUGAUGGUGUUGUAUAGUGACCACUCACACCCCAGUACUGCCAGCUCACUGCAGAUCCUUUUGUGAAUCAACAAGACCAAGGGGCGCCUGGCUGGCACAGUUGGUUAAGCGGCUGCCUCCGGCUCAUGUCAUAAUCCCAGAGUCCUGGGAUUGAGCCCCACAUCCGGCUCCCUGCUCCACGGGGAGCCUGCUUCUCCCUCUGCCUCUCUCUGUCUCUCAUGAAUAAAUAAAUAAGAAUCUUAAACAAACAAAAUAAGACCGACACAUUUUUCUCUUCAUUAAUUGCUCAGAGGAACUCUUUUGAAGCCAGUUUAUAUGGACUGGGAGAGAAAUGCUGAAGGAAUAUGGGCAGGUAUUACUCGAAUGAGUCACCUGCUCAUUCAGUUUAGUUGUGACGGUGUUCCCAGUGUUGUAGGGAGUGGACUGCUGUUGCGUCCAUCCAGUUGUAUGGUUUGGUGAAUCAGGUAACACCAGUUCAUGAUGGGUAGUUGAUUAUUCACGCAGUCACUUGAUGUCCCAUGGUCAGGUGUUCCAUCUCUACCAGGUAUCAGGAGCAAGUCAG
This is a long non-coding RNA of Zalophus californianus (California sea lion), 1434 nucleotides long. RefSeq lists it as uncharacterized. NCBI's taxonomy places the organism in Eukaryota, Metazoa, Chordata, Mammalia, Carnivora, Otariidae. The transcript is spliced from 6 exons. The record is from RefSeq and is a predicted model, not a curated record.